GAACCCCCCUCUUCUGCAGUGGGGAAUGACAGAGAACACAGUGACCUGCACUUUCUGUAGCUGGUGAUCAUGCUCACUUCCAGGAUGAAGACACCAUCCAGCUGCCUGCGCCCAGGGUCUGGCUGAGGAUGGUGAACUGGAGGGCACGACCAGGAGAGCAGACAGCAGCAGCCGAUGGAAAGAUGCAACCACCGCAUCACCACGUGGGAUGUUUCCAGUGAGGACUAAGCAACUAUUAUUUUCCUCCUGGGAAGUUCCAGUUGGCCAGAGAACAAAGACC
This 280-nucleotide long non-coding RNA is filed under the name Fukomys damarensis (Damara mole-rat). RNAcentral describes it as "lncRNA (ENSFDAG00000021962.1)". Lineage: Eukaryota; Metazoa; Chordata; Mammalia; Rodentia; Bathyergidae. The record is from RNAcentral.